Molecule: ribosomal RNA, 497 nt
Filed under: uncultured bacterium
Lineage: Bacteria
Description: partial 16S ribosomal RNA
Rfam family: Bacterial small subunit ribosomal RNA
Source: RNAcentral
GACGAACGCUGGCGGCGUGCCUAAUACAUGCAAGUAGAACGCUGAAGGAAGGAGCUUGCUCUUUCUGGAUGAGUUGCGAACGGGUGAGUAACGCGUAGGUAACCUGCCUGGUAGCGGGGGAUAACUAUUGGAAACGAUAGCUAAUACCGCAUAAAAUUGAUUAUUGCAUGAUAGUCAAUUAAAAGGUGCAACUGCACCACUACCAGAUGGACCUGCGUUGUAUUAGCUAGUUGGUGGGGUAACGGCUCACCAAGGCGACGAUACAUAGCCGACCUGAGAGGGUGAUCGGCCACACUGGGACUGAGACACGGCCCAGACUCCUACGGGAGGCAGCAGUAGGGAAUCUUCGGCAAUGGACGGAAGUCUGACCGAGCAACGCCGCGUGAGUGAAGAAGGUUUUCGGAUCGUAAAGCUCUGUUGUAAGAGAAGAACGAGUGUGAGAGUGGAAAGUUCACACUGUGACGGUACCUUACCAGAAAGGGACGGCUAACUACGUG